CUCAGGACGAACGCUGGCGGCGUGCCUAAUACAUGCAAGUCGAGCGGACAGAUGGGAGCUUGCUCCCUGAUGUUAGCGGCGGACGGGUGAGUAACACGUGGGUAACCUGCCUGUAAGACUGGGAUAACUCCGGGAAACCGGGGCUAAUACCGGAUGCUUGUUUGAACCGCAUGGUUCAGACAUAAAAGGUGGCUUCGGCUACCACUUACAGAUGGACCCGCGGCGCAUUAGCUAGUUGGUGAGGUAACGGCUCACCAAGGCGACGAUGCGUAGCCGACCUGAGAGGGUGAUCGGCCACACUGGGACUGAGACACGGCCCAGACUCCUACGGGAGGCAGCAGUAGGGAAUCUUCCGCAAUGGACGAAAGUCUGACGGAGCAACGCCGCGUGAGUGAUGAAGGUUUUCGGAUCGUAAAGCUCUGUUGUUAGGGAAGAACAAGUGCCGUUCAAAUAGGGCGGCACCUUGACGGUACCUAACCAGAAAGCCACGGCUAACUACGUGCCAGCAGCCGCGGUAAUACGUAGGUGGCAAGCGUUGUCCGGAAUUAUUGGGCGUAAAGGGCUCGCAGGCGGUUUCUUAAGUCUGAUGUGAAAGCCCCCGGCUCAACCGGGGAGGGUCAUUGGAAACUGGGGAACUUGAGUGCAGAAGAGGAGAGUGGAAUUCCACGUGUAGCGGUGAAAUGCGUAGAGAUGUGGAGGAACACCAGUGGCGAAGGCGACUCUCUGGUCUGUAACUGACGCUGAGGAGCGAAAGCGUGGGGAGCGAACAGGAUUAGAUACCCUGGUAGUCCACGCCGUAAACGAUGAGUGCUAAGUGUUAGGGGGUUUCCGCCCCUUAGUGCUGCAGCUAACGCAUUAAGCACUCCGCCUGGGGAGUACGGUCGCAAGACUGAAACUCAAAGGAAUUGACGGGGGCCCGCACAAGCGGUGGAGCAUGUGGUUUAAUUCGAAGCAACGCGAAGAACCUUACCAGGUCUUGACAUCCUCUGACAAUCCUAGAGAUAGGACGUCCCCUUCGGGGGCAGAGUGACAGGUGGUGCAUGGUUGUCGUCAGCUCGUGUCGUGAGAUGUUGGGUUAAGUCCCGCAACGAGCGCAACCCUUGAUCUUAGUUGCCAGCAUUCAGUUGGGCACUCUAAGGUGACUGCCGGUGACAAACCGGAGGAAGGUGGGGAUGACGUCAAAUCAUCAUGCCCCUUAUGACCUGGGCUACACACGUGCUACAAUGGGCAGAACAAAGGGCAGCGAGACCGCGAGGUUAAGCCAAUCCCACAAAUCUGUUCUCAGUUCGGAUCGCAGUCUGCAACUCGACUGCGUGAAGCUGGAAUCGCUAGUAAUCGCGGAUCAGCAUGC
RNAcentral lists this ribosomal RNA (1351 nucleotides) under Bacillus amyloliquefaciens. RNAcentral's name for it is "bacterial SSU rRNA". It matches the Rfam family "Bacterial small subunit ribosomal RNA", at positions 23 to 1357 of the family's 1533-position model. Lineage: Bacteria; Bacillati; Bacillota; Bacilli; Caryophanales; Bacillaceae. The record is from RNAcentral.